Molecule: small nuclear RNA, 20 nt
Filed under: Arabidopsis thaliana (thale cress)
Lineage: Eukaryota; Viridiplantae; Streptophyta; Magnoliopsida; Brassicales; Brassicaceae
Description: snRNA_05516
Source: RNAcentral
UUUUACAGAUUCUAUUCUAU